RNAcentral lists this unclassified non-coding RNA (267 nucleotides) under Hevea brasiliensis (rubber tree). Lineage: Eukaryota; Viridiplantae; Streptophyta; Magnoliopsida; Malpighiales; Euphorbiaceae. The record is from RNAcentral.
GCUGCAUGUGCCCGUGUAUCUUUUUGUAUAGACUGUGUCAGUGUAUCAAAUGGAGAAAUAUGAAUAUAAGCAGACUUGGUAUUUUGAUGUUGCAAAGUUCAGUUAAGGCAAAAUUUCCAAUUAGCAUGACAUGUUAGUCAAUUAUAUUAUGCAUCACUUGCAUGUUGUAUCCAACAAGAAGAAACCAGUAGGAUUGUUAUCCUCUUAUGCAAAAGAACAACACAGAUGUUGAACAAACAUAUUCACGCUUUGUCAGUGUGAGGUUAU